This is a non-coding RNA of Ceratotherium simum simum (southern white rhinoceros), 86 nucleotides long. The record is from RefSeq and is a predicted model, not a curated record. NCBI's taxonomy places the organism in Eukaryota, Metazoa, Chordata, Mammalia, Perissodactyla, Rhinocerotidae.
UGGAACAAUGACUGAUAAGACUGUCUUCUCAUUUUGGGAGAGUGAUUUGCUUGCAAGAAGGACAGCGGUAUCCCGUUAAGCAGAAA